AGUCUGCAACCCGGCCUACAUGAAGCUGGAAUCGCUAGUAAUCGCAGAUCAGAAUGCUGCGGUGAAUACGUUCCCGGGUCUUGUACACACCGCCCGUCACACCAUGGGAGUCGGAAAUGCCCGAAGUCGGUGACCCAACCGUUUACGGAGGGAGCUGCCGAAGGCAGGUCUGGUGACUGGGGUGAAGUCGUAACAAGGUACC
Molecule: ribosomal RNA, 202 nt
Filed under: uncultured bacterium
Lineage: Bacteria
Description: partial 16S ribosomal RNA
Rfam family: Bacterial small subunit ribosomal RNA
Source: RNAcentral